AACGAACGCUGGCGGCAGGCUUAACACAUGCAAGUCGAACGGUUGGUCGCAAGACCGAUAGUGGCGAACGGGUGAGUAACGCGUUGGUGACCUGCCCUAAAGCGAGGGAUAACAGUCCGAAAGGGCUGCUAAUACCGCAUAAUCUGGUGGACGGUUAGAGAGCUACCAGGAAAGCCGGACGCUUCGUAAGAAGCGCAGGCGCUAAAGGAGGGGCCUGCGUCCCAUCAGCUAGUUGGUAAGGUAACGGCUUACCAAGGCGAUGACGGGUAGGGGACCUGAGAGGGUCGGCCCCCCACAAUGGAACUGAAACACGGUCCAUACACCUACGGGUGGCAG
Molecule: ribosomal RNA, 336 nt
Filed under: uncultured Chloroflexota bacterium
Lineage: Bacteria; Bacillati; Chloroflexota
Description: bacterial SSU rRNA
Rfam family: Bacterial small subunit ribosomal RNA
Source: RNAcentral